GUAGUCUCGCACAGAUGCAUAUCAAUAAGCGGAGGAAAAGAAACUAACAAGGAUUCCCUCAGUAACGGCGAGUGAAGCGGGAAGAGCUCAAAUUUGAAAUCUUGAAAGGUCACCUUUCACGAAUUGUAGUUUAAAGAAGUGUUUUCUGUUACGAUCGUAAUAUAAGUUCUUUGGAAUAGGACAUCACAGAGGGUGAGAAUCCCGUCUAUGAUUGCGAUUUGUAGCUUUGUGAUACACUUUCAAAGAGUCGGGUUGUUUGGGAAUGCAGCCCAAAACGGGAGGUAAAUUUCUUCUAAGGCUAAAUAUUGGCGAGAGACCGAUAGCGAACAAGUACCGUGAGGGAAAGAUGAAAAGAACUUUGAAAAGAGAGUUAAAUAGUACGUGAAAUUGUCAAAAGGGAAGCGUUUAACACCAGUGUUGCUUUCUGAAAAUCAACCUCUGUUAGCUUUAUGCAUGUUUGUUUAGACCUAAUCAGCUAUCUUGCAUGUUCUAUUGUCUUGCAGUGGUGCACUUUUCAGUUUACAGGUCAACAUCAGUUUUUUUUACCGUAAAAAAGUUAAAGAAAGGUAGCUCAUGGCUCCGGUCGUGAGUGUUAUAGUCUUUUUCCUAUGCGGUAGGAGAGACUGAGGUCUGCAGUGUAGGCUAUUUGGCUAGAUACUCAGGUGCUAUGUGAUACCAUUUCAUAAACAACUUGUUGAUUAUGUUUUGUCUAUUGCAUACUCGCUUGUACUAUCAUACCUACGCUUAGGAUGUUGAGUCGUAGAGCACGCAG
Molecule: ribosomal RNA, 772 nt
Filed under: uncultured Neocallimastigales
Lineage: Eukaryota; Fungi; Neocallimastigomycota; Neocallimastigomycetes; Neocallimastigales
Description: partial large subunit ribosomal RNA
Rfam family: Eukaryotic large subunit ribosomal RNA (bases 6-662)
Source: RNAcentral